This 541-nucleotide ribosomal RNA is filed under the name uncultured bacterium. RNAcentral describes it as "bacterial SSU rRNA". It matches the Rfam family "Bacterial small subunit ribosomal RNA", at positions 776 to 1318 of the family's 1533-position model. The record is from RNAcentral.
UAAUAGAUACCUCGGUAGUCCACGCCGUAAACGAUGUCAACUGGUUGUUGGGGAUUUAUUUCUUCAGUAACGAAGCAAACGCGUGAAGUUGACCGCCUGGGGAGUACGGCCGCAAGGCUAAAACUCAAAGGAAUUGACGGGGACCCGCACAAGCGGUGGAUGAUGUGGUUUAAUUCGAUGCAACGCGAAAAAACCUUCCCACCUUUGACAUGUACGGAAGUUGCCAGAAAUGGCUUCGUGCUCGAAAGAGAACCGUAACACAGGUGCUGCAUGGCUGUCGUCAGCUCGUGUCGUGAGAUGUUGGGUUAAGUCCCGCAACGAGCGCAACCCUUGCCAUUAGUUGCUACAUUCAGUUGGGCACUCUAAUGGGACUGCCGGUGACAAACCGGAGGAAGGUGGGGAUGACGUCAAGUCCUCAUGGCCCUUAUAGGUGGGGCUACACACGUCAUACAAUGGCUGGUACAAAGGGUUGCCAACCCGUGAGGGGGAGCCAAUCCCGUAAAGCCAGUCGUAGUCCGGAUCGCAGUCUGCAAUUCGACUG